RNAcentral lists this long non-coding RNA (868 nucleotides) under Mus musculus (house mouse). RNAcentral describes it as "long non-coding RNA chr12:77300830-77301698". The record is from RNAcentral. Lineage: Eukaryota; Metazoa; Chordata; Mammalia; Rodentia; Muridae.
GGAUAGAUCUCAGCCCUGGGGCAGUUAGUGGUUAGAAGAAGCUCUUACUGCAGUGUUCUGGCUCAGGUCUAGUGGGUAUUGGCUUCUCCUGCAGUACAGCCCUUUUUAUUUCUCAUUAGUUAAUUGGGUGUUUUUCCAACCCUAUUAUAGUUAAUGAUCUCUCAUACUAAAAUUUCCCUUUUCAAAUUCCAGGGUGGCUUCUCUCUUUUAAGUUGACUUUGCAUUUCCAUAUGACUUUUAGAAGCAGUUUGUAAAAUGCCCACUGUGAUUUUAAUUGGAAUUAUAUUGUAUUUAGACAAAUUUGGAGAGAGUUGACACCAUAACAAUACUGAGCCUUCUGACCCUUCGAUAAGAUAUUUCCAUUUAGAUAAUUAGUUUCUAUCAGUAGUGUUUUAGAUUUUCAAUAUACUGAUUUCUCCCCUGUUUUGUCAGAUUAAUUCUUUUUAGUAUUUUGGUUUCUUUUUUUUGAUGAUUUUAUAAAUGGUAUUUAAAAAUAAAUUUCUAAUUGUUCAUUGCUCAUAUGCAGUUCUUCAAAUUUUUUGCAUAUUGCCAUAACUUUGAUAAUUACUAUUUUGGUAGAUUAAUAUUAUAUUGGAUCUUCAACUUAGACAUUUUAAAUAUGUAUUUUGUGACUAAAGAAAGUUGUUUUCCCUCUAAUCUUGAUGCCUGUCUUUUCUCUUGCCUCACUUCAGUAGCUAGUACUUUUAAUGCAUGUAUAAUGCUGAGUAAUUAGACAUCUCGAUCUUGUUUCUAAUGUUACAGGGAAACAUCUCUGACAAUUAAGAUGAAACUUGUGUAUUUCUCAGAUCUUUGAAAUACCCUUUGUUGCACUGAGAAAAUAUUGUCAUAUUCCUAGUUUGUAGAAAUU